Calliphora vicina (urban bluebottle blowfly) is the source of this 146-nucleotide small nucleolar RNA. RefSeq annotates it as small nucleolar RNA snoR639/H1. The record is from RefSeq and is a predicted model, not a curated record. NCBI's taxonomy places the organism in Eukaryota, Metazoa, Arthropoda, Insecta, Diptera, Calliphoridae. The transcript has a single exon.
ACCCCAUCACAUAAGCCGACAAAGAGAGUAUAUUUAACCAGCUCUCUAUGUGACUAGAGAUGGGAAAAUUAAAUCUGCUCCGAUGUGUGUAUGUUUUGAGACAAAAAAACAUUUACGUCUCUUCACAAAGAAAAUUUCAGAGUACA